This 316-nucleotide ribosomal RNA is filed under the name Mallos pallidus. Its description in RNAcentral is "partial 12S ribosomal RNA". Lineage: Eukaryota; Metazoa; Arthropoda; Arachnida; Araneae; Dictynidae. The record is from RNAcentral.
AGGUAAUAAAAUAAUUAAAACCUAUUUAUAAUGGCGGCAUUUAUUCUAUUUAGAGGAACUUGUCAUUUAAUCGAUAAUCCCCGAUAAAUUUCACUUUAUUUUAAAAUUUAUAUACCGCCAUCAAUAAGAAUUUUUUUUUAAAUUAAUUCAAAAUAAACUCUAAAAUGUUAGGUCAAGGUAUAAUCUAUAAUAAAGUCUUAGAUGAGUUACAUUAAAAAAUAUUUAAGAAAUAUUUUAUUAAAUUAAAUAAGAAAAAGGAUUUAUUAGUAAAUUUAAUUUUAAUAAUAAUUUAAAAUGAACUAGAUAAAAAAUGUGC